This is an RNA transcript of Camellia sinensis, 3351 nucleotides long. It is a transcript of the gene named smr (Small MutS Related) domain-containing protein, with no coding region annotated. NCBI's taxonomy places the organism in Eukaryota, Viridiplantae, Streptophyta, Magnoliopsida, Ericales, Theaceae. The record is from RefSeq and is a predicted model, not a curated record.
CCUUCAUCUAGAGAAACCCUCGUUUUUCUUUUGUUUCUGUAUCUCAGUCUCAAUCUCAAUCUAACACAGACAGGACGUGUAUAUGGAUUUCAGAUGCAGACCUUGUUCUUCGUAUUCUUCUUCUUCUUCUUCUUCUUCGAAUUAUUCUCUUCACAAUUACGAAUUCUCCAUCAUCGUUGUUGUUGCAACUCUCUCUAUUGCUCAGCCCCCCCACCGCUCCAUUCGAUUCACGCCAUGGUUUCCAGACCUCCGCUUUAGUUUUCCCAAAUAAUAUUUAUAUAUCAUUUUCAAAAAUAAAAAGGUCUGUCAAUUUCUUGAUUUGUGGUAAGUUAAGGAGUUAUAUAUUUAUCAAGUAAAUACACAGCAGGGGGACAGAAGCUUGGUGAAUCUUGUGUUCUAGUCUUGCACGUGACAUUAAAAAUAUGACUUCUGCUAGUUCUUCAAAUGUGAAGAUGUCAUUGAAGAGGGCUAAAUCACCUGGUUGGGCUGCAUUUGACCUCAAGCAGGGUCAGAAAGAAUGUUUUGAACUUGAAGUUGACAAUGAGCCUUACCCACCCAUGUCAAGUGCCAUCACCUCUCUGCCUCCCUGCCAGAACACUCGGCAGAAGAAUAAUCUUCCAGUGAGGUCUAUCUCAUCAGUGCUCUUACCUGAUGUGAAAUUUCCAACUUUGACAGAGGAUGAAGAUGAUGAAAAACCACUAGUAGUCGGCAAUUCUAGUGCAAUCUGGAGCAACAAGUUCACUGAUGAAACUGAUAUUGUACAGGCCUUUGCGAAGCUUAAAGAGCUUCACUCCUGGGCUGAUGAAAGGUUGAUUGAGGAUAUUAUGGCAGCCGUUGAUAACGAUGUUAACAAGGCCUCAGCUGUAUUGAUAUCAAUGGUUUCCCCUGAGAACUUUAAGCAGAAUAAGGAUAAAAAUAUCGGACAAUCAAAGUCUAAUUCCGAGCAUUUUCACAUAUCUAUUGCAACCCAGAGCAACAAGUUCACUGAUGAAACUGAUAUUGUAGAAGCCUAUGCAAAGUUCAAAGAGCUUCAUUCCUGGGUUGACGAAAGCUUGAUUGAGGAUAUUAUGACAGCUGCAGAUAAUGAUGUUAACAAGGCCUCAACUUUAUUGAUACCGAUGGUUUCCGCUGACAGCUUCAAGCAGAACAAGGAUAAAAACGUCGGACAAUCAAAAUCUAAUUCUGAGCAUUUUCGCUUGGACCAUAAAAAAUCAUUAGCAAGGAAAAGUGAUUUUUUUGGAGAGGCCAUAGACUUUUCAGAAUUGAGCUAUGUUCUUGAGGAUAGUCUUAAUUGCAAGAAUGAAGAACUGACCAAUGACAAUGUUUCUGGUGAAAAUAACAAGUCUGAUGCUGCUGCUGCACAUAUGAAGCUGAUUUUGGGGAACUUGAGGCCUGUACCCAUUGAGCCUGAGUGGGAAGAGGACGAUAUCUAUUUAAUCCAUCGAAAGGACGCAAUAAGGAUGAUUAGGUUAGCGUCUCAGCAUUCACGGGCAGCCACUGAUGCCUAUUCAAGGGGCGAUCACUUAUCUGCCCAACAGCUCUCAGUGAAAGCUAGGGAGGAAUGGAUGGCUGCUGAAGGUCUUAAUGCUAAGGCAGCAAAGGAAAUUUUAAGUAUCAGGAAUAGAAAAAACAGUCUAUGGGAAUUGGAUUUACAUGGUCUUCAUGCAGUGGAAGCAGUUCAAGCCUUGCAGGAGCGCUUGCACAGUCUUGAAUCCCUGGUUCUAUUGGAGCAAUCAGUAUCUCCAGAUAGAAACAGAAAAGGAUCAGGCAUUGUGCGUUGUGCAUCUCUCGAAUCAUUAGGUUGUAUGGAGAUGGAGAAGUUGGAUGAACAACGAGCAUCAUCUCAGCAGAGACCAACAUCAUUGCAUGUCAUAACAGGCUAAAGUACAUGGACGAGAUUGCACAAAAUAAGAUGCUUGAUGAAGAUCACUAGAAGCUAGUUGACCAACCAAGGUGGGACCUGAGCAAAUGUUACGGAGAGGGCAAGUGAGGCCGGGGAGUGAGCGUGCCUUAGUCUUGAGAGGAUGAGGACAAGAGAGGACACACUUGAUUGAGGAAUCAUAUAAGGUCAAACCAAGAAGGCUACAGAACAUUCCUUUCAUGGUAUGCUAAGGGAUGAGGAUUCUGGUUCUUGAAUACUGUGAUUUUUCAAGUUUUAUGUAUUUUUUGAAAAUUCAUUGGUACUCCGCAGACAUAGGACAUGUUUGCUCAUGUCACUUUGUAUAUAUGGCUCAGAAUGCUAAAUUAGGGGGCAGUGGUAUGUGCUACUAGCCUCCCUUGUGCCACUUAUGCAUGAGUGAGCUACCCCAAGGCAACUUGGGGGUGGGUUUUAGGUGAUCAACAGGUGUCUACGGUUCCAUUGGGGAUUAGGAGCCCCAUGGAUGCUGCCAUCAAGGGCAUGAGUGUCAGCACUAUGUGAACUUCUUGCCAUGGAGGCUUGGGACACGCAUCUGUUAUGCCCCGCUUCCUAUCCUGUUAGGAUUGUGUCCUCGGGCCAAUUGGACUAUCGAGGCACUCUCUACCUUGUCAACUAGCCCAAGAUUGGAUGGUGUAUGUGGUUGUGGCACUUGCAUGCUUCUCUGGGGUGCUAUGGCUUGCAUGAGUUACUUGGUUGGGAUCAACACUCUUGAUAGAUACGAUUGUGCUAGGUUGUGUGGCUUGGUGCCUUGAUGACGUGAACCUCAGUUGGGCGAAUGCCUCGUCGUGACAAGCUUGGUGCAAUGAUGCAACUACUACUGUGCAUGGAGUAACUUGGGACAUGGGGUCUUGGGGUGGCAUCCAGGAAUGUGGAGCUUCUUUGUGAGGAUUAUUCUUGCUGAAAAUUGUGGAUUUGCUAAGGACUAAAUCCUUACACUGAUUUGUUCUGUUGUCUGACAGGCAGAGGUAAUCAUAGCAAGGGGCAACCUGUAAUUCCAACUUUUGUCAGAAGUUUUCUCAAUGAGAAUGGAUACCAUUAUGAUGAGGCGAGGCCAGGGCUAAUCACAGUGAGGCCCAAGUUCCGUUGCCAGUGAGUGGGUGGUUGCUUGACAAUCCUAUUAGGUGGCGGCAGUGGCCAAGGCAGUUGUGAUUGCGGUAGGCGCUGCGGCCGUGGCCGCCAUUGUACUGGUAGAGGGCCUUUGUGAUUGUCUGUGCAUGCGAGUAGUAGUGUGUUUAUAUGUCUGACGAAUACAAAUGCACUUGUGAGAUCAGUUGUACAUUUCUUGUGAAAAUAGAAUUGCCAUGUUAACUUCCUCUUAUUUUGUUUUCUGAUACAUGGAAAUUAAAUUAAUGUUUAUUUCGAGUUAUGUUCCAUUAAAUAUUUCUUGAUGUUAUUUUUGGAUCUUAAAUUAGUGGAGAAAAAAAAAAUUAAAA